This 204-nucleotide long non-coding RNA is filed under the name Elaeis guineensis (African oil palm). RNAcentral describes it as "long non-coding RNA (EGUI_LNC052741)". Lineage: Eukaryota; Viridiplantae; Streptophyta; Magnoliopsida; Arecales; Arecaceae. The record is from RNAcentral.
CAUUCAGCUUCGAGAUGAAAUCGAGGAGCUCAUCAAGUGGGGUCGGCUCGACAGAUUCAUCCGAUGCCAGCCUGAAGGUAGGGAGGAUCGACUGAGGGCCCUGCCACAACCGAAGCUGUCAAGGAGGAAAGAACAGCCUAGAGAUUGGCCUCCAAUCAGGAUCAUCAAUACCAUCUCUGGAGGGCCCCGAAGGGGAGCGGCUAG